GAAUACUCUCAUCCUCUCCCUUCUCAGCCUCCUAAAUACCCAAGUGAAUUUAUAUAAUGAGCUUUAUUUUAUCACCCUGAAAUUCUUCCUCAGUCCAAAUUGCUAAUGUGGCAGGUUCCAGCUGCCCAAAUUCCCUAAACAACAUUGCCUGUUCCAUAAAAAGCAUGCAAUUACAAGCACAGCAGUCCUGCUCUGGUUCUUAGAACUAUAAACUGACUACACAGCUCCCUGGCCCGGGAAGGCUAUGAAACAGGCAACAUGGACAAUUUAAAGGUGUACAACAUCCGAGGUUCCAUUUCACCCUCAGGCAGCACGGAGUGGACAAGAGAUGGGGUCUCACUUUGUCACCCAGGCUGGGCUCAAACUCUUGGCUUCAAGCGAUCUUCUCGCCUUGGUCUCCCAAAGUGCUGGGAUUACAGGCUUGAACUACUGUACUCGACUGACUUUUCCUAUUUCUAAUGUCAGCAUGAAGAACACAAGAAGUCAGCUUCAAAGGUGGAGUCUUGCUCUGUCACACAGGCUAGAGUGCAGUGGCACAAUCUCAGCUCACUGCAACCUCCGCCUCCUGGAUUCAAGCGAUUCUCAUGCCUCAGCCUCCCGAGUAGCUUGGAUUACAGGCAUCUGCCACUACGCCUGGCUAAUUUUUGUAUUUUUGUAUUUCACCAUGUUGGCCAAGCUAAUCUCGAACUCCUGACCUCAAGCGAUCCCCCCGCCUCAGCCUCUCAAAGUGCUGGGAUUACAGGCAUGAGCCACUGUGCCCAGCCUAAAUAAUUUUUUUCUACUUCAGAUUACUUCUUUAUCAUAGACCAAAGAAAAUGGGGAAAAAGGAUUUAAGAAACUCCUAAGAGGCUAGUAAAAGUUGUUACAGCCACAGAAAUUACAAGUAAAAAGAGUUUGGAAAAAUCUGUUUAUACCACCAAUUCACAUAUACUUCCAUUAAAUAUAGCUCUAAAUAUUUGCCAUUAAUGCUAAAGAUGAAAAAAAUUUUUUUAAAUUUCUAUUUAUUUAUUUUUGUAGAUAUGGAAUCUUGCCAUGUUGUCCAGGCUGGUCUGGAACUCCUGGGCUCAAACCAUCCUCCUGCCUCAGCCUCCCAAAAAUAGUUUUUUGACAAAACAUCCUAACACUAAAUUUCACCCAACUAGUUUCUUCCCUCCUCUAUGGUAGAGGCCCACUGUCUCAAUUCUUUCAUAUUUCUCAUCAUAAACAGGUUCCUCUACAAUAAAUGCCUGUUCAGAACUGCUAACAUUUGUAUGUGUUUACCAAUGUUCUUGUGAAGUAUUUUUGUGACAAAUAACUACUGUUAUGGACAUAUCAUUUGCAGAUAAUGAAAAAUAAAACCAAGAUUCUCUUCUUUGCUGAUGAAGUCAGGAAGGUGGAAAGGGCAAAGCAAGAACUCUCACUCUUACCCUAUGAGUAAUUUCAAUAGAAAUCAAAGGCGUUAACUUCUCGGGUCCUCAAUUUUUUCUUCUCUAAAAAGAAAGAAUUGUUUAAUAAAACUCAUCCAAGGCUACAAUCAUCAAUGGCAGCUAAAACCACUUAGUGAAAGAAUUUUUUUUUUAAUAAAAAAAGGACAUUGGAUGAUGUCUCAACUCCCAAGCACUUGAUGUUUGACUUGGGAGUGGUGCCCUCAGUCACACCUAAAACUAUCUGCGGCAGACCCUGUUCUUUUUGGCUGACACAAAUGCCAUUCCCAACCUCCUUCUCCUCCUGUCUUGUCUCAAUCGUAGAGUCUAGAAGAGCAAACAUUCACUUUGCAGCCUCCCUUGUACCAAGGAGUGGCCAUGAGACAAUUCUGCCCAAUGAAUCAGAAGAGGAAUUGUGUUGAGGAUUUCUGGAAAGACUACUUCUUUUCCCAAGAAAAAGUGACAGACGCAGUAGGGGCUGAGCAACUUCCGUGCCUCUUCCAGCCUUACGGAUGUGCUGUUGGUAGCUGUGACUGCCUUGCUACUACGAGGAAAAGGAAGGCCAAGAGAAUAGCAGAGACACUCGCUCUGAUGCCUUUGAGCCAAUGAAUCAAUGCCAGAAGCAGCUGACCUCCAGAGUUCUUGUUACAGGAUUAAAAUAAAUCUCUACUUAUUUGCCAUUGUCACUU
RNAcentral lists this long non-coding RNA (2092 nucleotides) under Homo sapiens (human). Its description in RNAcentral is "HSALNT0369866". The record is from RNAcentral. Lineage: Eukaryota; Metazoa; Chordata; Mammalia; Primates; Hominidae.